This 497-nucleotide ribosomal RNA is filed under the name uncultured bacterium. RNAcentral's name for it is "partial 16S ribosomal RNA". It matches the Rfam family "Bacterial small subunit ribosomal RNA", at positions 28 to 507 of the family's 1533-position model. The record is from RNAcentral.
GAUGAACGCUGGCGGCGUGCCUAAUACAUGCAAGUCGAGCGAACAGACGAGGAGCUUGCUCCUCUGACGUUAGCGGCGGACGGGUGAGUAACACGUGGAUAACCUACCUAUAAGACUGGGAUAACUUCGGGAAACCGGAGCUAAUACCGGAUAAUAUAUUGAACCGCAUGGUUCAAUAGUGAAAGACGGUUUUGCUGUCACUUAUAGAUGGAUCCGCGCCGCAUUAGCUAGUUGGUAAGGUAACGGCUUACCAAGGCAACGAUGCGUAGCCGACGUGAGAGAGUGAUCGGCCACACUAGAACUGGGACACGGUCAUGAGUCCUACGGGAGGCAGCAGUAGGGAAUCUUCCGCAAUGGGCGAAAGCCUGACGGAACAACGCCGCGUGAGUGAUGAAGGUCUUCGGAUCGUAAAACUCUGUUAUUAGGGAAGAACAAAUUUGUAAGUAACUAUGCACGUCUUGACGGUACCUAAUCAGAAAGCCACGGCUAACUACGUG